CCUACGGGAGGCAGCAGUGGGGGAUAUUGGACAAUGGGGGCAACCCUGAUCCAGCGACGCCGCGUGAGUGAAGAAGUCUCUCGGUAUGUAAAGCUCUUUUAGCAGGGAAGAAGAAAUGACGGUACCUGUGUAAGAAGCCCCGGCUAACUACGUGCCAGCAGCCGCGGUAAUACGUAGGGGGCAAGCGUUAUCCGGAUUUACUGGGGGUAAAGGGAGUGUAGACGGUGAGACAAGUCUGAAGUGAAAGGCGGGGGCCCAACCGCCGAACUGCACUGGAAACUGUGUUUCUUGAGUGCAGGAGAGGUGAGCGGAAUUCCUAGUGUAGCGGUGAAAUGCGUAGAUAUUAGGAGGAACACCAGUGGCGAAGGCGGCUGACUGGACGGUAACUGACGUUGAGGCUCGAAAGCGUGGGGAGCAAACAGGAUUAGAUACCCUUGUAGUC
Molecule: ribosomal RNA, 442 nt
Filed under: uncultured bacterium
Lineage: Bacteria
Description: partial 16S ribosomal RNA
Rfam family: Bacterial small subunit ribosomal RNA
Source: RNAcentral